UACGUAGGGACCGAGCGUUGUCCGGAUUCAUUGGGCGUAAGAGCUCGUAGGCGGCUGCUCAAGUCGAAUGUGAAAACUCGAGGCUCAACCUCGAGCCUGCAUUCGAUACUGGGCGGCUAGAGUCUGGUAGGGGAUCUGGAAUUCCUGGUGUAGCGGUGGAAUGCGCAGAUAUCAGGAGGAACGACCGGCUGGCGAAGGCGGGAUCCUGGGCCAGUACUGACGCUGAGGAGCGAAAGCGUGGG
This 242-nucleotide ribosomal RNA is filed under the name uncultured bacterium. RNAcentral's name for it is "partial 16S ribosomal RNA". It matches the Rfam family "Bacterial small subunit ribosomal RNA", at positions 524 to 765 of the family's 1533-position model. The record is from RNAcentral.